UAACACAUAAUCCAGAUGGCUCCUUACGUGUUAAAAAUUGUCACCCCAAUUUCACUCCAAUUUGGAAAAAUAUUGGAGUGACGUUUGAAUAAUCUGAAAUUUUUAGAUUCCUUUUCUAACUUUUUUGGGAGGUUUUGCUUCUCUUGCACAGAUGUCGCUUGCACUUCAGUUGCGUGGUUGCCAAACGUUAUAUCGAAAUAUAUUUCAUUUCAUUAUGAAUAUAUAAAAUUAAAAAUUAUGUAAUUUAUAAACAUGAAAUAGAUAUGGAUGUUAGGUAAUACCGGAUGUUAAAUUAAUAUAUAAAUAUUUAACUUAAUACGUAAAUUAUUAUUUUAUUAAUUUAUCGUCACACGUCAUUUACCAGUUGCCUAAUUACGAAAAGUUUCAUAUGAUAUUAACCUCAAAAAUGAUCUUUGAAAACAAACAACAACAAAUAACUCAAAGAAAUAACUACAUACUACAUAAUAAUAACUGAUAAUAAUGACUUUUAAUGGUAUAAAGGCUGAUGAAGUUUUAGACAACCAAUACAAGAUUCAGAACUCGGCAUCGCGAUAAACAAGUAAAAUUGUACAUUCAGGAACUCGUUUAAAUAUUAUAGGUUGAUUGAAGAAUAAUCUACAAUUGAUUAGAGCCUAUGACGAUGCGAAGAUAAUUAAUCACCUAACUUUAAGAAACCAGCCUAAAGAAGUUUACAUGCAUCUCAUCUAACCAUUAUAGAUCAGUAGUGAUUUUUCAUAAUUUGAAUGAACUCACAGAUAGCAAUGGGGCACCGCACCGAAGCAGUAUUACAAAAUGUGAAAUAAAACUGUAGUACAUAUUGCUCUAUAAAAUUUAAUAGAAAUAAAUUUAUUUAUGAAA
RNAcentral lists this long non-coding RNA (858 nucleotides) under Sitophilus oryzae (rice weevil). RNAcentral's name for it is "uncharacterized LOC115877515, transcript variant X1". The record is from RNAcentral. Lineage: Eukaryota; Metazoa; Arthropoda; Insecta; Coleoptera; Curculionidae.